AGCAGCCGCGGUAAUUCCAGCUCCAAUAGCGUAUAUUAAAGUUGUUGCAGUUAAAAAGACUCGUAGUUGAAUUUCGAGAUCAAUUUGUUGGUCGUGCCUCGGUACGUACUGGCAAUUUUGAUUUCUCCCUUCUGAAGAACCAUGAUGUCAUUAAUUUGGUGUCAUGGGGAAUCAGGACCGUUACUUUGAAAAAAUUAGAGUGUUUAAAGCAGGCUCGCGCUUGAAUACAUUAGCAUGGAAUAAUGAAAUAGGACGUUUGAUUCUAUUUUGUUGGUUUCUAGGAUCGACGUAAUGAUUAAUAGGGAUAGUUGGGGGCAUUAGUAUUCAAUUGUCAGAGGUGAAAAUUCUUGGAUUUAUUGAAGACUAACUACUGCGAAAGCAUUUGCCAAGGAUGUUUUCAUUAAUCAAGAACGAAAGUUAGGGGAUCGAAGACGAUCAGAUACCGUCGUAGUCUUAACCAUAAACUAUGCCGACUAGGGAUCGGAUGAUGUUAAUUUUUAAUGACUCAUUCGGCGCC
Molecule: ribosomal RNA, 517 nt
Filed under: uncultured Glomus
Lineage: Eukaryota; Fungi; Glomeromycota; Glomeromycetes; Glomerales; Glomeraceae
Description: SSU rRNA
Rfam family: Eukaryotic small subunit ribosomal RNA
Source: RNAcentral